AUCCAGCUGACAAGUACUAAAUAGGACGAAACGCGCGUUCUGGAU
Non-coding RNA from Schistosoma margrebowiei, 45 nucleotides. Lineage: Eukaryota; Metazoa; Platyhelminthes; Trematoda; Strigeidida; Schistosomatidae. The record is from Rfam.